CCUACGGUGCGCAGCAGUCGAGAAUCAUUCACAAUGGGGGAAACCCUGAUGGUGCGACGCCGCGUGGGGGAAUGAAGGUCUUCGGAUUGUAAACCCCUGUCAUGUGGGAGCAAAUUAAAAAGAUAGUACCACAAGAGGAAGAGACGGCUAACUCUGUGCCAGCAGCCGCGGAAAUACAGAGGUCUCAAGCGUUGUUCGGAAUCACUGGGCGUAAAGCGUGCGUAGGCUGUUUCGUAAGUCGUGUGUGAAAGGCGCGGGCUCAACCCGCGGACGGCACAUGAUACUGCGAGACUAGAGUAAUGGAGGGGGAACCGGAAUUCUCGGGGUAGCAGUGAAAUGCGUAGAUAUCGAGAGGAACACUCGUGGCGAAGGCGGGUUCCUGGACAUUAACUUACGCUGAGGCACGAAGGCCAGGGGAGCGAAAGGGAUUAGAUACCCGGGUAGUC
This 446-nucleotide ribosomal RNA is filed under the name uncultured bacterium. RNAcentral describes it as "partial 16S ribosomal RNA". It matches the Rfam family "Bacterial small subunit ribosomal RNA", at positions 338 to 795 of the family's 1533-position model. The record is from RNAcentral.